Molecule: ribosomal RNA, 478 nt
Filed under: uncultured bacterium
Lineage: Bacteria
Description: SSU rRNA
Rfam family: Bacterial small subunit ribosomal RNA
Source: RNAcentral
AGGACGAACGCUGGCGGCGUGCCUAACACAUGCAAGUGGAGCGACGACCCGGGCUUCGGCCCGGUGCAAAGCCGCGAACGGGUGAGUAACACGUGGGUGAUCUGCCUCGCACUCUGGGAUAAGCCUGGGAAACUGGGUCUAAUACUGGAUACGACCAGGGACUGCAUGGUUUCUGGUGGAAAGGUUUACUGGUGCGAGAUGGGCCCGCGGCCUAUCAGCUUGUUGGUGGGGUAAUGGCCUACCAAGGCGACGACGGGUAGCCGACCUGAGAGGGUGACCGGCCACACUGGGACUGAGACACGGCCCAGACUCCUACGGGAGGCAGCAGUGGGGAAUAUUGCACAAUGGGCGAAAGCCUGAUGCAGCGACGCCGCGUGAGGGAUGACGGCCUUCGGGUUGUAACCUCUUUCGACAGGGACGAAGCGCAAGUGACGGUACCUGUAGAAGAAGCACCGGCUAACUACGCGCCAGCAGCCGC